GAGCGGAUGAGAAGAGCUUGCUCUUCGAUUCAGCGGCGGACGGGUGAGUAAUGCCUAGGAAUCUGCCUGGUAGUGGGGGACAACGUUUCGAAAGGAACGCUAAUACCGCAUACGUCCUACGGGAGAAAGCAGGGGACCUUCGGGCCUUGCGCUAUCAGAUGAGCCUAGGUCGGAUUAGCUAGUUGGUGAGGUAAUGGCUCACCAAGGCGACGAUCCGUAACUGGUCUGAGAGGAUGAUCAGUCACACUGGAACUGAGACACGGUCCAGACUCCUACGGGAGGCAGCAGUGGGGAAUAUUGGACAAUGGGCGAAAGCCUGAUCCAGCCAUGCCGCGUGUGUGAAGAAGGUCUUCGGAUUGUAAAGCACUUUAAGUUGGGAGGAAGGGCAUUAACCUAAUACGUUAGUGUUUUGACGUUACCGACAGAAUAAGCACCGGCUAACUCUGUGCCAGCAGCCGCGGUAAUACAGAGGGUGCAAGCGUUAAUCGGAAUUACUGGGCGUAAAGCGCGCGUAGGUGGUUUGUUAAGUUGGAUGUGAAAGCCCCGGGCUCAACCUGGGAACUGCAUCCAAAACUGGCAAGCUAGAGUACGGUAGAGGGUGGUGGAAUUUCCUGUGUAGCGGUGAAAUGCGUAGAUAUAGGAAGGAACACCAGUGGCGAAGGCGACUUUCUGGUCUGUAACUGACACUGAGGCGCGAAAGCGUGGGGAGCAAA
Molecule: ribosomal RNA, 713 nt
Filed under: uncultured Pseudomonadales bacterium
Lineage: Bacteria; Pseudomonadati; Pseudomonadota; Gammaproteobacteria; Pseudomonadales
Description: bacterial SSU rRNA
Rfam family: Bacterial small subunit ribosomal RNA
Source: RNAcentral